UACGUAGGAGGCAAGCGUUGUCCGGAAUUACUGGGCGUAAAGCGCGUGUAGGUGGUGGGACAAGUCUGCUGUGAAAGCGCCUGGCUUAACCGGGCGAGGUCGGCGGAAACUGUCCGACUCGAGGACGGUAGAGGGGGGUGGAAUUCCGCGUGUAGCAGUGAAAUGCGUAGAGAUGCGGAGGAACACCGAUGGCGAAGGCAGCCCCCUGGGCUAACACUGACGCUCAGGCACGAAAGCGUGGGGAGCAAACAGG
Molecule: ribosomal RNA, 253 nt
Filed under: uncultured bacterium
Lineage: Bacteria
Description: partial 16S ribosomal RNA
Rfam family: Bacterial small subunit ribosomal RNA
Source: RNAcentral